RNAcentral lists this ribosomal RNA (996 nucleotides) under Prevotella sp. oral taxon 314. RNAcentral's name for it is "bacterial SSU rRNA". It matches the Rfam family "Bacterial small subunit ribosomal RNA", at positions 28 to 1012 of the family's 1533-position model. Lineage: Bacteria; Pseudomonadati; Bacteroidota; Bacteroidia; Bacteroidales; Prevotellaceae. The record is from RNAcentral.
GAUGAACGCUAGCUACAGGCUUAACACAUGCAAGUCGAGGGGAAACGGCAUUGAGUGCUUGCACUCUUUGGACGUCGACCGGCGCACGGGUGAGUAACGCGUAUCCAACCUUCCCAUUACUGUGGGAUAACCUGCCGAAAGGCAGACUAAUACCGCAUGGUCUUCGAUGACGGCAUCAGAUUUGAAGUAAAGAUUUAUCGGUAAUGGAUGGGGAUGCGUCUGAUUAGCUUGUUGGCGGGGUAACGGCCCACCAAGGCGACGAUCAGUAGGGGUUCUGAGAGGAAGGUCCCCCACAUUGGAACUGAGACACGGUCCAAACUCCUACGGGAGGCAGCAGUGAGGAAUAUUGGUCAAUGGACGUAAGUCUGAACCAGCCAAGUAGCGUGCAGGAUGACGGCCCUAUGGGUGUGUAAACUGCUUUUGUAUGGGGAUAAAGUCAGUCACGUGUGAUUGUUUGCAGGUACCAUACGAAUAAGGACCGGCUAAUUCCGUGCCAGCAGCCGCGGUAAUACGGAAGGUCCAGGCGUUAUCCGGAUUUAUUGGGUUUAAAGGGAGCGUAGGCCGGAGAUUAAGUGUGUUGUGAAAUGUAGACGCUCAACGUCUGACUUGCAGCGCAUACUGGUUUCCUUGAGUACGCACAACGUUGGCGGAAUUCGUCGUGUAGCGGCGAAAUGCUUAGAUAUGACGAAGAACUCCGAUUGCGAAGGCAGCUGACGGGAGCGCAACUGACGCUUAAGCUCGAAGGUGCGGGUAUCAAACAGGAUUAGAUACCCUGGUAGUCCGCACAGUAAACGAUGGAUGCCCGCUGUUGGUACCUGGUAUCAGCGGCUAAGCGAAAGCAUAAAGCAUCCCACCUGGGGAGUACGCCGGCAACGGUGAAACUCAAAGGAAUUGACGGGGGCCCGCACAAGCGGAGGAAACAUGUGGUCUAAUUCGAUGAUACGCGAGGAACCUACCCGGGCCUGAAAUUGCAGAGGAAGUAUUUAGAGAUAAUGA